This 253-nucleotide ribosomal RNA is filed under the name uncultured bacterium. RNAcentral's name for it is "partial 16S ribosomal RNA". It matches the Rfam family "Bacterial small subunit ribosomal RNA", at positions 524 to 776 of the family's 1533-position model. The record is from RNAcentral.
UACGGAGGAUGCAAGCGUUAUCCGGAUUUAUUGGGCGUAAAGCGUCCGCAGGUGGUUGUUCAAGUCUGCUGUUAAAGCGCGAGGCUUAACCUUGUACAGGCAGUGGAAACUGAGCGACUAGAGUAUGGUAGGGGUAGCGGGAAUUCCCAGCGUAGCGGUGAAAUGCGUAGAUAUUGGGAAGAACACCAGCGGCGAAAGCGCGCUACUGGGCCAUUACUGACACUCAUGGACGAAAGCUAGGGGAGCGAAAGGG